RNAcentral lists this long non-coding RNA (6308 nucleotides) under Heterocephalus glaber (naked mole-rat). RNAcentral describes it as "lncRNA (ENSHGLG00000031969.1)". Lineage: Eukaryota; Metazoa; Chordata; Mammalia; Rodentia; Bathyergidae. The record is from RNAcentral.
GCCACUCCCUAUUAUCUUCCUCAGAUAAGAUAGUUAUGGUUUUGAAUUCUAAGUAUAACGAUACUGGAUUACAAGAACACAUUCCUGGGGCCGGGGAUUUAGCUCAGUGAUUUCGCUGCCUGCUGCGCAAGCGCAAGGACCCAAGUUCGAUCCCCGGUAACAAAAAAAAAAAAAAAAAAAGAACACAUUCCUUACUUAUUUCACUCUUCAGCAUUACCUGUCUGCCCAGUUGGCAUCUAAGUAGAAUAUAGUGAACUCUCACUGAUUACUAGAUUCUAAUCACCACGUAACUACCAGCAUCACCAGACACCAUUUAGGCAUCCACUUUCAGUAAGAAUAAAACAAAACAAAACAACUAGUUUUCUCUCAUUACAUUCCUAGUGCUCUUGAAAUAAAACCUGCAUCAGGCUCCUAAGGCCAUCAUCCAAAGCCCAUGGACUUUCCCUUGAGAUCAAACACAUGCUGUUAGGGCUCUGAGUCUCACUUUCAGGCUCUCUGUCAUCUCCUGACUCUUCCAGGGGACAUAAAAACAAUACCCUCAUACACCAGUUCCACCAAAAAGAUUUUCUUUAUUGUUGUUAUUACUGAAGCAUUGAUAUCCUUAUAUUUUAUAUCUAUAUGUACAGAUUUUACAUGUCCUAUACUUUACACAAUAUACACAUGCAUAUGCACACACGAUUUUGACAUAUCACAGUAAAAAAUUUAGAUGUGAUACUAGUCUAUAGCUCAAUUUAAGAUAGAAAGCCAUAGCCUAAAUGUGCUGGCUUUGUUUCCCAGCAUCUCAGUUUUCUUUACAAUUUGAGAAAGUACUAUUUGAGUAUUUAUUAUUAUUAUUUGAGUAUUAUUAUUACUUGAGGCAUAAUAAUAUUAAUCUUUAAUGGCCUUUACUCUACUGAACAUGCCUAUGUACCCAUUCCCACUGAAAUUUCCCUUCUAGCCACACAUAGUCAUUACCCUGAUUUAAUGUAAAGGCAACUGAGGCCCAUAUGAAGUGACCUCCUCAAGCCAUUCAGGUGUUAGAGUGGAGUCAGAAAAAACAAAGCCUUGGCUGGUAGCCCUGGGCUCUUUCUGAGAAUCCACAAGAACUGAGUGAAUAUUUCAAACAUAUUUUCUGAAUGAAAAAACUCCCCAUAGUCUCUGGCAGUUAGUACCUAAGAAGAUAAAGCAGAGUAUUAAAAAUCCAUGUACACUCUAGUGAAAAUGUCCAGACUUUGUUGGAGUGAGAGGCUCAAAGCACCUGUCAAGGUACGCUAUAAUGAGAAAUGAUCAUGACUGGAAUGUUCUCCUUUAUCUCACCAGCUCUAUAACCCAAAUUUUAUCAAAGACUUCAGGCCUGAAGAGCUCAGACCGCAUUUUGUCAUUAAUAUUCACCACCAUACCCUUUAAGGGUAUGGGUAUGUGUUAUUAGCAUCACAUUUCAGAUGAAAAUACACCAUGAAAAGAACCAUAGCAUUUGUGCCUGGCUUAAGGAUUCAGAGACUGCUUCCUUUUAGAACCAUCUCUUAUGUCUGAUUCAGCUUUGCCCUCCUGUAGGAAACAACACAGAUAAACCAAGUGGGAUGCUCUUUUCAGCCUAAUGUCCCCAGUGUCAAAGUCUGACUAAAAUAAUAAGAUCAAAGCCCUAGGACUAUGAUGAAAAUGAAAGUCCGUGAUGGAGCAAGAUUGGCAAAGAAGCUAUUAUGUAUUGGCCUAGAUACUCAAAUGUCCUUUGAAAAAUAUUAAAAAUACAGAUGUCUAUUAUUAUAUAAUAGCAUUAAGACCUAAACCUCAGCCAUCUUUAGAAAUCCAAGCAAUGGUCACCCAAGAGCUAGGCUUUCAAUAUUUUCCCUCUUUUCUUUUUUUCUGGUACUGAGCUACAUACCCCCGCCCCUUUUUUUGAGACAGGUCUUGCUAAAUUACCCAAUUGUCCAGAACUUAUGAUCUGCUGCAUCACAUUUGAUUCUAUUGUGACCAUUUAGCAUGAUCUUGAACAUACAAGCUGUAAUUUCACAGCUUCAAACACUUUACUGUGUCUAUGAAAUCUACAUUUUUUUUAAAAAGCCGGUCACUGACACCUGACAUGAACCACACCAACACUCACUGAAAAGACUGUAAGAAGUGUCAUCCUGGGUAAGUCAGUGGUGCAUCUGAUCGAGAAUUCUGUCACUGUUAUCUGAAACACUCAUGGGAGGGCAUGAGCUCUUAAAACUAAUGUUGCACUUCUAAGAACUUUGCCUCAUCAAUACAAAAAUCACAUAAAAUCAUUCAUUGCAGUGAUAUUUGUAAUCACAGAACCUGGGAACAAACUAAAUGGUUAUUAAUAAGCAACUGGUUGAACAGACUGUGGCACAGCCAUACAAUAGACUAUCAUUCAGCUAAAAAAAAUAAGAUCUUUAUGCAACAAUAAGGAAGAUUCCAAGGAUAUAUUGGUAAGUAAAUUAAAUAAUAUAUAUACACUCGAAUGUCCAUAGGAUGCCGCUAUCAUUCAAAAGCUAUGGGAUGGAUAUUUUUCAGACAUUUUGCACAUACUUACUGUGCAUCUUCUACAUCCCAGAAACUGUUCUAGCUACUGGGGACAUGGCAGUAAAGAAGAAAAUAGACCAAACUCCUAGCCUUCCAGAAGCUUAUUCUCAUUUUCUCAUGCCAGGAUACUCGUGUCUGAGGCCCCCUGACAAUUCUGUCUGUCUCAUUUGGGAUCUCUCAUGUAUACUUAGUCAGACAGCUGCUGGAGCUGGAGCCAACUAAAAAAUUAAUUAGAAUGCUGUACUACUACAAACUGCCUCUGAUGUCACAUGAUCUGUGUGUCUGUCUUCAUAUAGCCUUCUUAUAAAGAUGUCAGCCACUGGAUUUUGAGUCCAUCUACUUCAUUCUAACCAUCUUUCACACAGACUCUCCAUCAGAGAGAGAAAAUUCAUAGCCAGUUCAAAGUUCUCAGAAGCACAAAAAUGGAAGCUACCUGGCCUUAUAAAGUUAGUGGAAUGUGUCUAGCAAUAUUUUACAUGCUGAGAUCACAGUGGAGAACAACACAGGCACAAGACCCCAUGUCAAACAACUUUCAUUGUAGUAGAGACAAUACCACUGAAUUCUUGCUUAGAACUCUUGGUUGUUGUAGUAGUGUGGAAAAAAUAAUGAACUACAUCUGACACCUGGGCUCUCUCUCUGCAGUGAGUUCCAGACAGAGUAAAAGAUAACAUAACUCAAUCAUAUCCUGAACCAGACAGUCUGAAAUCCAUCGAUAUCUAGAUGUCUCCUCCAUUCAUACAAUUACUUAUCCUUGUUCAAAGAGCUCUCUAAUUUUUAUCUUCUUUAUAAAGUUUUUUAAAAUGGCUAAUGCUUUGGGGAUGAGUAAAGAGGUGAUGAGAACUUUACAAAAGGGAAGAAAAAGUGAGUUUCCUGGACAGUUCAAAAUUGCCUCUCCCCUUCCGUCCAAAUUUUUGGACUCUAGAAUUGUGACACUUCCCUAAAUUAUUAAUACACAUCUGCUCAAAUUAUGAUUUAUAUCUCAAUUGACCCAUUUGGCAGGAAUGACAGACUGCAAAUUGUGAAAUGGAAUGAUAUCAUAUGAUUUUUUAACAUUGCUAUCUCUAGCAUACACCUGUUACAGAGAACGCCAGAUGUUAAUCAGCAGAUGUUCCUGGGGCUCACAAAGAAAAACAGGUAGCUACUCUUCUAUACAUCUUACCACUAAAAAAUAAUGAUACCCAUUAGUAUACUGUUAUGGAAGGGAUAUGAGGAUCAGCCCUAAUGAUGGCAUAUGUGAUGUUGUGCUAAGAAAGUCAGUAGAGAUGAGAAUAUAGGAGAGCACUUUUAGAUUUUAGUCACUGGUUUUUGUUCUGAGAAUAAAUGCCAACACUGUUUUGAAUAAAAGAUAUCUGUAUGCCAGUGUUUUCUUCAAACUGUAAUACAGAGACCAUGUGCAUCACAUGGGUCUGCAUUAAAAUGCAGAUUUCUAGGCCAGUCUCAAAGGAUGAAAACCAGUAGGCCUGACAAUCACUUCCCCAACACAUACUGAAAACUGUUCCCUAUUAGCAUCUCAUCCUUCCAUGUGAACCCCAUUACUCCCUGUUCUUUCUUCUAGGCAGUUUGGAUUUCAGGUCAGAUCUUCACAAAUUCCCCUCCUCCCAGGGUUCAGGAAUGAGCACAGCCAUGAGUACUAUCACCACCAACAACUGCACCGACCCCUUACUCCCAUUGCUGUCAAAACCUAAGGAUACAAAAUCCAAGGAUGAAGCAAAAGGCAAACGUGAAUAAUCAUUCCAACCAAGUUGAUCCUGACAUGGAGCAGAGGUAACUGGGAACCUCAGAAGGAGAACUACAGGGCUAUGUGGGGAAGCAGCCUGCAUGCCCAAGCACCUGGUUCUCACUGCCACACAUACAGUGCAGCCAACUUUCAAGACUCAGCAAUGGCAAAGAGCAGAUUAUAUCCUUAUGUUGUAUACAAUUGAGAAAAUUGAGGACUAUACAAGAAGAUAUUUUUGGUAUAUUUAAAACUUCGCAAUAGAAGCAUGAGAUUUUGAGCCAGAAAAAUUUCACUCUCUUAAAAUCUAGUGUGGCCUAUCACCCAAAAGAGAUGAAGUUUUUACCAUUGAAUCUGAAUAUGUCUCAAUGGCCUGCAGGGAAUACAAUUUUCUGGAAAACAGACCUGGCCUCUGCCCAUGUGGAGCUUCUAUUUCACUGGGAAAGAGAGUCAUUGAGUAAAUAAUUACAUAAACAACAGUAAUAGUAAAAACUGUACUCUUCUAACAGAGAGAUUCAUGGUGUUGUAAGGGUGUAACAGGAAAACUUGAUGUAGUCUGGAAAGGGGAACAGGAAAGGUGUCCAUACGGAAUUGACAUGUGAUCUAAGAACUGAAGAUGAAUUCAGCAGACUGGAGGGCUGAAAGCAUAUCAGACAGCAAAAAUAGCAUGUGUAAAAUUCUUGCAGUGGAAUAAAGAUGUUCAAAUAAAAGAAGGCCUGAGUAUAAAAAGCAAGGGGAAAGGAGCCCAGAUAAGCAUGGUUUCUCCAGGUAGAGGCCAGACUUCACAGAGUCUUAUGCUAAAUGCAUUGUUCUCUAAGAACAAUGAGAACAAUUAAAAGAAUGAAGGGGAGGCUUGUAGGUUCAUAGUUGCAUUUAGAAAAGAUCUCUUAGACUGCAGUGAAGAUGGAACAAUAGAGCAGAUGAAGAGGAACAAUCCAGAUGUGAGGAGACCAGUCAGGGUUCUUAAUGGUUAAUUUUAUGUCAAUUUGACUGGGCUGAGAUAAUCAAAUAGCUGGUAAAACACUACUUCUGAGUGCAUCUGUGAGGAUGUUUCUAGAAGAGAUUAACAUUUGAGUUGGUAAACUGAAUAAUGAAGAUCACCCUCACCGUGUGAGUGAGCAUUAACUGUUUCAGUCCAUUGAGCCAACAGAACAAAGGCAGAGGAAAGGUAAAUCCACUGCUUGAGCUAGAAGAUCCAUCUUUUCCUGCCCCUCAGACUCCUGGACUCCUGGUUCUCAAGCCUCCAGAGACUCACACCACUGGCACCCCUGGUCAUCAGCCCUUUGUGCUACUGGCUUUCCUGAGCCUUCAUUUUGCAGACUGCAAAAUGUGGGACCUAACCUCCAUCACUGCAUAAGCCAAUCCCUAUAAAUCCCCCCUCCCCAUUUCUAUCUGAGACAAGAGAUAUGCAGUUCAGGCUGGGCUUGAACUCACAGCAAUCCUUCUGCCUCAACUUCCAGAGGGCUAGAAUUACAGGAGUGCGCCACCACAUUCAGCCUUGUCCUGUAUCUCUAUGUAUCCUACUGGCUCUGAUUCUCUGGAAAGCCCUUACUAACACAGAAGUCCAUGGCACUAGUUUGGAUGAGAGAUAAUAUUUGGACAAGGGUAAUGGCUAUGGAGAUGCAGAGAAGAAGGCUGCUUUGAAACAUUUCUGAGGUAUCAAUGACAUAACUCAGUAAUGGAUUAGGUACAGAAUUGAAUGUGAGGGAUAAGCAUUAUGAUGCCCAGGUGUCUAACUCAUACCAUCAAAUGAAAGAUGGUUUCCUUCACGGAUGAAGGGAACAUUUAAGAGGACUGAGUUUAAAGGGGGAAAUACUUAUAUCUGGUUUUAGAUAUAUUUAGUUUGAAGUGUUUCUAAGACAUUUAAGUGGAGAUUUUUGGUAGGCAACUGAAGGUAGAUGUUAUUGAAGCUUUGGUGGUGAUUGAACUCCUAAAUGUGAAUGAGAUCACUUUAUAAACCAAUGGCAAUACGGGAUGCUGGUUCAGAGCAGGUGUCUGGAAAUAAAAAUGACUAAGUUUCCAGCCCAGGGUUAUAACUUUUUGUAACUGUACAAUGUACAACCAUGAAGAAAUUAUUCAGAUAUUCUAAAAC